RNAcentral lists this long non-coding RNA (624 nucleotides) under Marmota monax (woodchuck). Lineage: Eukaryota; Metazoa; Chordata; Mammalia; Rodentia; Sciuridae. The record is from RNAcentral.
CUCCUAUGAAGGUGAAGCAAAGGGGAACUUGAUUAUUCAAUUGGAAAAAAAGGUAUCUUAUUUGCACCCUGGUAUUUUGGAAGUGACUUUCCAAGUACCUGACCAGAGACCCCAGCUUUCCUCUCUCACUCACAACCAGCCAGCUCCCCAUUAGCCCAUCAGAAUCUAGAGUGUUUAGUUCCGCAUUCCACUUUUGCUUAUUCCUAAAUCACAUUUACAAGGUUAACACCCCCAGUCCCUUGCAAUCUCUGGUUUGUUGUUUUUCUUGUUUUUUGUUUGUUUUUCCUUAGGGUAAGGUUUUCUGAUCCAUUGUCAGAUUCAUUGACACCUAAGCCACUCUAGUCUGGAAGUUACCAGAUUUAUUGAUAGCCUUUUAAAAAUACUUACUAAAAUCUAAAGGGGAACUGCAGAAUUGGUUAACACAAUUCAGGCUAAAGGAGGCUGUCAGGAUGACAGGAACAGGUCCUCCUCAUCAGGAGAAGUCUGGAACUUUCACUCCUGUUUUUCCUGUAUGUGUCUUAUAAUAUUAGAACUGUGGAUCUCAGCCCUACCAGACCCAACCCUCCUUCCAUCCUUGUUAAUAAUAAAUAUUUUGUAACACUUUAUUUUCUAUAUGAAAUUCCC